This 132-nucleotide long non-coding RNA is filed under the name Mustela putorius furo (domestic ferret). RNAcentral's name for it is "lncRNA (ENSMPUG00000029678.1)". The record is from RNAcentral. Lineage: Eukaryota; Metazoa; Chordata; Mammalia; Carnivora; Mustelidae.
GGGCCUCUGGGAGCAACUUCUCACAGCUGGGGAAAAGAAGACCCUGGGUGUAAAACGGCUCUGUAGAGUUCCUGACCCCCAAGCCUUUGAUAAACGGGAGCUACUGUUGACAAUUAUAAUUGGUGCACGCAG